RNAcentral lists this ribosomal RNA (498 nucleotides) under uncultured bacterium. Its description in RNAcentral is "bacterial SSU rRNA". It matches the Rfam family "Bacterial small subunit ribosomal RNA", at positions 29 to 517 of the family's 1533-position model. The record is from RNAcentral.
AUUGAACGCUGGCGGCGUGCCUAACACAUGCAAGUCGAGCGGUAACAGGUGUAGCAAUACAUGCUGACGAGCGGCGGACGGGUGAGUAACGCUUGGGAAUCUGCCUGUUAGUGGGGGACAACCCGGGGAAACGUCGGGCUAAUACCGCAUACGCACUACGGUGGAAAGCCGGGGACCGCAAGGCCUGGCGCUAACAGAUGAGCCCAAGUCGGAUUAGCUAGUUGGUAGGGUAACGGCCUACCAAGGCGACGAUCCGUAACUGGUCUGAGAGGACGACCAGUCACACCGGAACUGAGACACGGUCCGGACUCCUACGGGAGGCAGCAGUGGGGAAUAUUGGACAAUGGGCGAAAGCCUGAUCCAGCGACGCCGCGUGGGUGAAGAAGGCCUGCGGGUUGUAAAAGCCCUUUCGGUGGGGAAGAAAAGCCUCGAGUUAACACCUCGGGGUCUUGACGUAACCCAUAGAAGAAGCACCGGCUAACUCUGUGCCAGCCGCCG